GUGUAAAAGAACAGGCAAAUUUGUGCAUGAAAUGUCAUAUUCUUUUUCUCUUAUUUACCAAAAUAAAGAAAUUCAAGAAAUAACCAGCACUUUUUUUUUUUUACGUAUGUUAAAGACACCAUGAACGAUCGCUUGCUUCAGAAAGAAGUGAUCUGGGUAUGAACCAAUGAGAGAAUACCCUUCAAAAGAGACAAAACCGUAUCUUGCUAUGCAGUCAAAAGGAGCCGCUAGAUUAAAUAUUAUUAUAGUACUCAGCUGGUUAUACGUGAAACAAUUAAAAUAUAACCCUGGAGAUUAUGCUCAGAAAAAAUGUAAUAGGCAGACAAGUAUGGAUUCCAUUGGAUUUUUGCGAAAUAUGGAAGAAACUUCUUGGACAAAUCCAUCAAAAUUUUCUACGAAAUAUGAAGUAAAUAGAAAAAAAGGAUAACAAGAUAAAGUGGAGGUGAUAUGAAAAGACAAUAGGAUCAUUUUGAUCAUGGAAAGAGAGAGAGAGAAGAGGAGAAAGAAGCGAGAAAGAAAAACUCAAGAAAACUGAACAUCAGAGGAAGAAAAAUUUCCCAGAGAAAAAGAACACAGGCUAGGACUUCAUUUUUAAGUGUUUAUUUCAUGCCAUAAGAAACAAAAGGUGGUAAAGAGAUCAUAUAUGUGGUAGUCCACAGAUAGAUUAUGAUGGGAAACUAACCAGUGAUGAUAGCAGUUAAAUUG
Molecule: unclassified non-coding RNA, 705 nt
Filed under: Hevea brasiliensis (rubber tree)
Lineage: Eukaryota; Viridiplantae; Streptophyta; Magnoliopsida; Malpighiales; Euphorbiaceae
Source: RNAcentral